RNAcentral lists this transfer RNA (73 nucleotides) under Candidatus Rothia avicola. Its description in RNAcentral is "tRNA-Gln". It matches the Rfam family "tRNA". From Rfam's summary of the family: Transfer RNA (tRNA) molecules are approximately 80 nucleotides in length. Their secondary structure includes four short double-helical elements and three loops (D, anti-codon, and T loops). The record is from RNAcentral. Lineage: Bacteria; Bacillati; Actinomycetota; Actinomycetes; Micrococcales; Micrococcaceae.
UAGGUGCUGUAAGUAAUUGGUAACUGGCCGGGUUUUGGUCCCGGAGUUGCAGGUUCGAGUCCUGCGCGCCUAG